CUGCCCCUCCACCCAGCUACCUCCAGCCACCCCUGUGCUCUAGCAUCUCUCUCUCUCAAGAGAGAGCUUGGCACAGCCUCAGGGCACCAGGCCUUCUGCUUCCUGAUUCCAGUCAUGGUGAAUUCCUUUCCUGCUUCCGGAAGGACUUGUUCAGGGAGGACCUCUCGGCUAAGGCUGUGAGCUCCAGAGCGGGAUUGAACUCUGAGAAAAUGCACGAUCGAGAUGCUGACUUUGCGUGGAAGCCCAUACAUAAGAAUGUUGAAACUUCCUCAGUGCACGAAGAGAUGCUCUUCUAUGUAUAUCUGGUUUUGUGAAACAUAAAAUUUUUUGAGAUCUCAGCAUUUGAGGCCACUGCACAUGCAGAAUGGAGGCCCACCCUGGGUUUUGAUCAAUUGCUUCAUAACACUUAGGUUGUC
This 416-nucleotide long non-coding RNA is filed under the name Ictidomys tridecemlineatus (thirteen-lined ground squirrel). RNAcentral's name for it is "lncRNA (ENSSTOG00000031504.1)". Lineage: Eukaryota; Metazoa; Chordata; Mammalia; Rodentia; Sciuridae. The record is from RNAcentral.